GAAUUCGCCCUUAGAGUUUGAUUAUGGCUCAGGAUGAACGCUGGCGGCGUGCCUAACACAUGCAAGUCGAACGAAGCAUUUACACGGAUUUCCUUCGGGGAUGAAGGGUUUAUGACUGAGUGGCGGACGGGUGAGUAACGCGUGGGCAACCUGCCCCGUACCGGGGGACAACAGCCGGAAACGGCUGCUAAUACCGUAUACGUUUUAAGGACCGCAUGGUCCGUAAAACAAAACUCCGGUGGUACGGGAUGGGCCCGCGUCUGAUUAGCUCGUUGGCGGGGUAACGGCCCACCAAGGCGACGAUCAGUAGCCGGCCUGAGAGGGCGGCCGGCCACAUUGGGACUGAGACACGGCCCAGACUCCUGCGGGAGGCAGCAGUGGGGAAUAUUGCACAAUGGGGGAAACCCUGAUGCAGCGACGCCGCGUGAGCGAGGAAGUACUUCGGUAUGUAAAGCUCUGUCAGCAGGGAAGAAAAUGACAGUACCUGACCAAGAAGCCCCGGCUAACUACGUGCCAGCAGCCGCGGUAAUACGUAGGGGGCAAGCGUUAUCCGGAUUCACUGGGCGUAAAGGGAGCGCAGGCGGCACGGCAAGUCUGAUGUGAAAACCCGGGGCUCAACCCCGGGACUGCAUUGGAAACUGCCGGGCUGGAAUGUCG
RNAcentral lists this ribosomal RNA (657 nucleotides) under uncultured bacterium. Its description in RNAcentral is "bacterial SSU rRNA". It matches the Rfam family "Bacterial small subunit ribosomal RNA", at positions 1 to 651 of the family's 1533-position model. The record is from RNAcentral.